RNAcentral lists this ribosomal RNA (742 nucleotides) under cyanobacterium enrichment culture clone 1_16_1.4.8_T7. RNAcentral describes it as "bacterial SSU rRNA". It matches the Rfam family "Bacterial small subunit ribosomal RNA", at positions 10 to 798 of the family's 1533-position model. The record is from RNAcentral. Lineage: Bacteria; Bacillati; Cyanobacteriota.
AGUUUGAUCUGGCUCAGGAUGAACGCUGGCGGUAUGCUUAACACAUGCAAGUCGAACGGAACCUUCGGGUUUAGUGGCGGACGGGUGAGCAACGCGUGAGAAUCUGCCUCUAGGUCGGGGACAACAACUGGAAACGGUUGCUAAUACCCGAUGUGCAGCAAUGUGAAAGAUUUAUUGCCUAGAGAUGAGCUCGCGUCUGAUUAGCUAGUAGGUGUGGUAAUGGCGCACCUAGGCGACGAUCAGUAACUGGUCUGAGAGGAUGACCAGUCACACUGGGACUGAGACACGGCCCAGACUCCUACGGGAGGCAGCAGUGGGGAAUUUUCCGCAAUGGGCGAAAGCCUGACGGAGCAAUACCGCGUGAGGGACGAAGGCUUUUGGGUCGUAAACCUCUUUUCCCUGAGAAGAAGAUCUGACGGUAUCAGGGGGAUCAGCAUCGGCUAACUUCGUGCCAACAGCCGCGGUAAUACGAGGGAUGCAAGCGUUAUCCGGAAUUAUUGGGCGUAAAGCGUCCGCAGGUGGCUCUGUAAGUCUGUCGUUAAAGAAUGGGGCUCAACCCCAUACAGGCGAUGGAAACUACAAGGCUAGAGUUUGGUAGGGGUCACGGGAAUUCUUAGUGUAGCGGUGAAAUGCGUAGAUAUUAAGAAGAACACCAGCGGCGAAAGCGCGUGACUGGGCCAGUACUGACACUCAUGGACGAAAGCUAGGGGAGCGAAAGGGAUUAGAUACCCCUGUAGUCCUA